GGGGGCGAACCUGGUUUCGACGUGGAUUACGAAGCUCAAAGUGCAUGUCGAGGAUGUAACUUACCUCGUAAAAAAUGUUACAAAACAAAUAGUUGCCAACAAAAAACGCAACUUCGCUAAUGAUGCUCGCUUCGUAGAAGCUGAAGCAAUCGCCGCUUAAACACCGGCAUAGCGCCAUCCACCGAUUGUGCUUGUACGAUUGGACGUUUACCGCAAGGCAAACACGGGUGGUCAGAUGAUACAAGCUCGUGGAAUGAUCUGCCCGAGAUCAAACCACUAAAUAAAAUGAGGGAUCGCUAUUUUAACAUCCUGCCAAUCGGAGGUGAAAUAGCUAAAUAAAAUGAUUGGAUACACAUGUAGACCCAAGAGUAGAGAGUUUGCGGACGCGGGUUCAAUUCCCGCCGCCUCCACCA
This 413-nucleotide transfer-messenger RNA is filed under the name Gammaproteobacteria (g-proteobacteria). Its description in RNAcentral is "2-12-FULL-37-34 sp001801495 Standard tmRNA". It matches the Rfam family "transfer-messenger RNA". From Rfam's summary of the family: Bacterial tmRNA, also known as 10Sa RNA or SsrA, is named for its dual tRNA and mRNA-like properties. Its role is to liberate the mRNA from a stalled ribosome. To accomplish this part of the tmRNA is used as a reading frame that ends in a translation stop signal. Lineage: Bacteria; Pseudomonadati; Pseudomonadota. RNAcentral also lists the same sequence under 1 other name. The record is from RNAcentral.